RNAcentral lists this ribosomal RNA (1475 nucleotides) under uncultured bacterium. RNAcentral describes it as "partial 16S ribosomal RNA". The record is from RNAcentral.
UACCUUGUUACGACUUCACCCCAAUCAUCUAUCCCACCUUCGGCGGCUGGCUCCUUGCGGUUACCCCACCGACUUCGGGUGUUAUAAACUCUCGUGGUGUGACGGGCGGUGUGUACAAGACCCGGGAACGUAUUCACCGCGGCAUGCUGAUCCGCGAUUACUAGCAAUUCCGACUUCAUGUAGGCGAGUUGCAGCCUACAAUCCGAACUGAGACCGGCUUUUUAGGAUUAGCUCCACCUCGCGGCUUCGCGGCCCGUUGUACCGGCCAUUGUAGUACGUGUGUAGCCCAGGUCAUAAGGGGCAUAAUGAUUUGACGUCAUCCCCACCUUCCUCCGGUUUGUCACCGGCAGUCACCUUAGAGUGCCCACCCGAAGUGCUGGCAACUAAGAUCAAGGGUUGCGCUCGUUGCGGGACUUAACCCAACAUCUCACGACACGAGCUGACGACAACCAUGCACCACCUGUCUUGAAUGUCCCGAAGGAAAGGUACAUCUCUGCACCGGUCAUUCAGAUGUCAAGACCUGGUAAGGUUCUUCGCGUUGCUUCGAAUUAAACCACAUACUCCACUGCUUGUGCGGGUCCCCGUCAAUUCCUUUGAGUUUCAGUCUUGCGACCGUACUCCCCAGGCGGAGUGCUUAAUGUGUUAACUUCGGCACCAAGGGUAUCGAAACCCCUAACACCUAGCACUCAUCGUUUACGGCGUGGACUACCAGGGUAUCUAAUCCUGUUUGCUCCCCACGCUUUCGCGCCUCAGCGUCAGUUACAGCCCAGAGAGUCGCCUUCGCCACUGGUGUUCCUCCACAUAUCUACGCAUUUCACCGCUACACGUGGAAUUCCACUCUCCUCUUCUGCACUCAAGUCACCCAGUUUCCAGUGCGAUCCGGGGUUGAGCCCCGGGAUUAAACACCAGACUUAAAUGACCGCCUGCGCGCGCUUUACGCCCAAUAAUUCCGGACAACGCUUGGUCCCUACGUAUUACCGCGGCUGCUGGCACGUAGUUAGCCGGACCUUAUAAAUAGUACCGUCAUUAAUUCUUCCUAUUCUUUCGAAGUUUACAUUCCGAAAAACUUCAUCCUUCACGCGGCGUUGCUGGGUCAGGGUUUCCCCCAUUGCCCAAAAUUCCCGACUGCUGCCUCCCGUAGGAGUCUGACCCGUUAUUCAGUGUCAGUGUGUCCGACCGUCCUCUUAGACCGGAUACAGAUCGUAGCCUUGGUAAGCCAUUACCUUACCAACUAGCUAAUCUGCCGCAAGCUCCUCCUCAAGCAAUAAAUCUUUAACAACUGUCACCUUGCGGUGCCGCUGCAUUAUGCGGUAUUAGCAUCGGUUUCCCGAUGUUAUUCCCCACUCGAGGGUAGAUUACUUACGUGUUACUCACCCGUGCGCCACUCUAUGCACUCCCCGAAGGGAGCUUUAAUCGUUCGACUUGCAUGUCUGAGGCACGCCGCCAGCGUUGAUUCUGAGCCAGGAUCAAACUCU